AACGAACGCUGGCGGCAGGCCUAACACAUGCAAGUCGAGCGCCCAGCAAUGGGAGCGGCAGACGGGUGAGUAACACGUGGGGAACCUUCCCUAUAGUACGGAAUAGCCCAGGGAAACUUGGAGUAAUACCGCAUACGCCCCGAGAGGGGAAAGAUUUAUCGCUAUAGGAUGGGCCCGCGUAGGAUUAGCUAGUUGGUGAGGUAAUGGCUCACCAAGGCGACGAUCCUUAGCUGGUCUGAGAGGACGACCAGCCACACUGGGACUGAGACACGGCCCAGACUCCUACGGGAGGCAGCAGUGGGGAAUAUUGGACAAUGGGCGCAAGCCUGAUCCAGCCAUGCCGUGUGAGUGAU
RNAcentral lists this ribosomal RNA (353 nucleotides) under uncultured bacterium. Its description in RNAcentral is "bacterial SSU rRNA". It matches the Rfam family "Bacterial small subunit ribosomal RNA", at positions 29 to 409 of the family's 1533-position model. The record is from RNAcentral.